AUGAGCUGCACCGGCCUGGAUAACCCAGCUCCCCACACUUCCUCUCUCCUGGGCCAGUCCUGCCUUCUCCCUUCUCCCCACCCAUCACAUGGGCAGAGCCUCUGCAGGCCAAAGUUCCGAAACCCCAGUUUUCCUCAAACACUACCCUUCUGUGAAGGUUUCCAUAGUCCAACUAUUCAGGAAAAAAAUCAUUGCUUCAAUUCGCCUCAUGUGGUAACUUUAUGAAAACUCCCCUUUAGGUACCUGCUUCUUCUACCUUUUGUUAUAAGUGUGGUUGUAUAUUUUCCCUUCUAG
Molecule: long non-coding RNA, 294 nt
Filed under: Ovis aries (sheep)
Lineage: Eukaryota; Metazoa; Chordata; Mammalia; Artiodactyla; Bovidae
Description: lncRNA (ENSOARG00000026852.1)
Source: RNAcentral